CCGCGGUAACUCCAGCUCCAAUAGCGUAUAUUAAAGUUGUUGCGGUUAAAAAGCUCGUAGUCGGAUGUCUGUCUUCGGCCGGGCGGCGCCGCUCUGAAUCAAGGGUGUUGCGUUCUUUCGCUCUGGGAGACGGGUGUCAAAGCCCGACUCUCUUCACGGUCGGACAACAUCGCCGGAGUGGUGGCCGGUGGGUCGUCGGGUUAGCGGGUUUGGUGUGAGGGAGUUCGCUCUUUUCUACCUUUCUCGUCCGGCGGCUCGCUCCACCCGUCAAUCGUCCGGGGUGCCCUUUACCGGGUGUCUCGGGCGGCCGGCAACGUUUACUUUGAACAAAUUAGAGUGCUAAAAGCAGGUGUAUCCCAACGCCUGAAUAUCGCAACAUGGAAUGAUGGAAUAAG
RNAcentral lists this ribosomal RNA (395 nucleotides) under Simocephalus serrulatus. RNAcentral's name for it is "bacterial SSU rRNA". It matches the Rfam family "Eukaryotic small subunit ribosomal RNA", at positions 574 to 826 of the family's 1831-position model. Lineage: Eukaryota; Metazoa; Arthropoda; Branchiopoda; Diplostraca; Daphniidae. The record is from RNAcentral.